UAAUACGAAGGGGGCUAGCGUUGUUCGGAAUUACUGGGCGUAAAGCGUGCGCAGGCGGCUUCCCAAGUCAGUGGUGAAAGCCCGGAGCUCAACUCCGGAAAUGCCAUUGAAACUGUGAAGCUCGAGAACGAGAGAGGUGAGUGGAAUUCCCAGUGUAGAGGUGAAAUUCGUAGAUAUUGGGAAGAACACCAGUGGCGAAGGCGGCUCACUGGCUCGUAACUGACGCUCAUGCACGACAGCGUGGGGAUCAAACAGGAUUAGAUACCCUGGUAGUCCACGCCGUAAACGAUGAUUGCUAGCCGUUGGGCAGCUUGCUGUUCAGUGGCGCAGCUAACGCAUUAAGCAAUCCGCCUGGGGAGUACGGCCGCAAGGUUG
Molecule: ribosomal RNA, 375 nt
Filed under: uncultured bacterium
Lineage: Bacteria
Description: bacterial SSU rRNA
Rfam family: Bacterial small subunit ribosomal RNA
Source: RNAcentral